UACGUAGGGGGCAAGCGUUGUCCGGAAUCAUUGGGCGUAAAGCGCGUGUAGGCGGUCCGGUAAGUCCGCUGUGAAAGUCGGGGGCUCAACCCUCGGAUGCCGGUGGAUACUGUCGGGCUUGAGUACGGAAGAGGCGAGUGGAAUUCCUGGUGUAGCGGUGAAAUGCGUAGAUAUCAGGAGGAAUACCGAUGGCGAAGGCAGGUCUCUGGGCUGACACUGACGCUCAUGCACGAAAGCGUGGGGAGCAAACAGG
RNAcentral lists this ribosomal RNA (253 nucleotides) under uncultured bacterium. RNAcentral's name for it is "partial 16S ribosomal RNA". It matches the Rfam family "Bacterial small subunit ribosomal RNA", at positions 524 to 776 of the family's 1533-position model. The record is from RNAcentral.